Molecule: long non-coding RNA, 3865 nt
Organism: Oreochromis aureus
Lineage: Eukaryota; Metazoa; Chordata; Actinopteri; Cichliformes; Cichlidae
Source: Ensembl
UGUUAGCCUGCUUUAAUUAGAGAAAGGACAAUUAGCAUCAGUGUUAUUCCACAUUUCUUGGGUUAUAUUUAUAUUCAAAAAUAUAAAGAGAUUAGUUAGCAUAUGUUUGGUCCAGAGGAUGAUCCACAGUGAUGUUGUGUUCUGCAGCCGAGCACUGAAUGACUUUUCCCACCAGAAGAUCGUCCAGCAUGUAGCAGCAGAUUAUUAUAUAGGCAACUGUGUACUGUCUGUAAUUGGUAAAUCACAUUUUCUGCUGUAUUUAGAAAAAGGAACCAUCACUUUAUUUGAAUAAAUGAAUAAACAAAAUGCAGGUAUAUGGAGGAAACUCAGAUGUCCCAGUUUUACACUGGGACAUGAACACAGCAUAAGUUUGCGGAUCUCGGCGAAGCUGGCAGUGUGAAAUUUGUCUCAAAAUUAUACAUAUUAUACACAUUUGUAAAUCAUACCGUACGUGCACUUGCAACCGUUUUGAGGUUUCUCUCCAUAUAUAAAUAGCGACUGUAAAUGUCAGUUUAAAUCGUCUUACCUGUAAAACUUGCCGUCUUUACCGGAAGUCAAUGUACACACCUUAACGGGUGGGAGUGUUUAUUUUUUCCAGUGUAACUGAAAAGUUAAGUUUCAUUUUCCUGUUCUGGAAAAUCAUGUGUUAUUUAGUCGGCGACAGAGAUUACAAUUACAAAAUGGAGAGCAGUCUGUUCCCAGAACUUUUUUGGAAAAAAGACAAGGACAACGAAAAGGAAGAAGGAAGAACUAGCCAUAAGAAAAGAAAGAGAGUCACGGAUGAUAAAGAUGAAAAGAACCUCUGGCGUGUAAAAUGUGGAACCAAAAAGGGUUGGAUGGAUGUAGAGAAGUUGAGAAAAGGUAAGGAUUGUAUUGAGUUUGAAGGCUCCUUUUACAGUCCACCUGAGUUUGAGAAGCUUGCAGGAAAAGACUCAUGUAGAAAAUGGAAGUCAUCUAUUUACCACAAGAAAGCUCCUCUGCACUUUUGGUUCAAGAAAGGUUACCUAACCACUACAGGAUAUAGACAAAAGAAAAGAAAAAGACAAUCAUCAGACCUUGAGUCCCAGGAACUCUUCACAGAACGCAAGGAAGAUCAUGAUGAAGAUGAGGAUGGAGAAGAGGAUGAUGAGGAUAUGGAUGAAGAUUAUGUAUGGGACAAUGAGCAGGGCACUAAGAAAAAUGAAGAUAAAAAAGCUACACAGAUUUAUAUCUCUUCUGAAGAAGAAGAAAGCGAGGAAGAUCCUGUUGAAGAUGAAGAUGAGGAUGGAGAACAAGAAGAUGAGCAUAUGGAUGAAGAUGAUGUAGGUAACGAUGAGCGUAGCACUGAGGAUGAUGAGGAUGAAGAAAGUGAUAAUGGUGAGGAUGAGACUGUGCCUGCUGUUGCCUCUAACCAUACUGACAGCAGUGGUAUCAAAGAGAGAGUAACACCUACAAUUCCAACACCUGGAAAACAUGCAUUAGAGAUGAAAGAAGUAAAGGGUAUCGUUAACAUCCUUCCUGAGAAGACUAGACAUCAUUCUGACAUGCCAAGAUCUGAAGUCAGUGGAAAUAACAAAGAUGUGGCAAAAAACACAGCAAUCAAACAGCAAAAUGUUAAGAAACAACCUGAAGAGAAACUGAAAAAGACAACAACAAGCACAAUUUCAAUACCUGGGAAACCUGCACUAAAGAUGAAAGAAGCUAAUGGUAUCGUUAAAAGCCUUCCUGAGAAGGCUAGACAUCAUCCUGACACGACAAGACCUGAAGUCAUUGGAAAUAUCAGAGAUGUGGCAACAAACACAGCAAUCAAACAGCUGAAUGUUAAGAAAGAACCCAAAGAGGAACUGAAACACAAGGAAGAUCGUGUUAAAGAUCAAGAUGAAGAUGAAGAACAAGAAGAUGAGCAUAUGGAUGAAGAUGAUGUUGGUGAUGAUGAGCUUAGCACUGAGGAAGAUGAGGAUGAAGAAAGUGAUCAUGAGAGAGUAACAAGUACAAUUCCAACACCUGGAAAACAUGCAUUAGAGAUGAAGGAAGUAAAGGGUAUCGUUAACAUCCUUCCUGAGAAGACCAGACAUCAUCCUGACAUGCCAAGAUCUGAAGUCAGUGGAAAUAACAGAGAUGUUGCAACAAACACAGCAAUCAAACAGCAAAAUGUUAAACAACCUGAAGAGAAACUGAAGAAGACAACAACCGACACAAUUUCAACACCCUUGAAACCUGCACUAAAGAUCAAAGAAGUAAAGGGUGUCGUUAAUAGCCUUCCUGAGAAGGCUAGACAUCAUCCUGACAUGACAAGAUCUGAAGUCAGUGGAAAUAACAGAGAUGUUGCAACAAACACAGCAAUCAAACAGCAAAAUGUUAAGAAACAACCUGAAGAGAAACUGAAUAAGACAAUAAGUAGCACAAUUUCAAUACCUGGGAAACCUGCACAAAAUAUCAAAGAAGUAAAGGGUGUCUUUAAUAGCCUUCCUGAGAAGGCUAGACAUCAUCCUGACACGACAAGAUCUGAAGUCACUGAAAAUCCCAGAGAUGUGGCAAAAAACACAGCAAUCAAACAGCUGAAUGUUAAGAAACAACCUGAAGAGGAACUGAAGAAGACAACAACCGACACAAUUUCAACACCUGUGAAACCUGCACUAAAGAUCAAAGAAGUAAAGGGUGUCAUUAAUAGCCUUCCUGAGAAGGCUAGACAUCAUCCUGACACGACAAGAUCUGAAGUCAAUAGAAAUUCCAGAGAUGUGGCAAAAAACACAGCAAUCAAACAGCUGAAAGUUAAGAAAGAACCUGAAGAGGAACUGAGUCCUUUCUGUGAACCUCUGGCUGUGUCAGAUGACCAUCAACAUAAAGAGGUCCCCUGCUCUGGCCACAGUGUAGCUGAAGUACAAUCCAUGAGGCCAGAGAUGAGUGUGAACAUGUCAGAGGCCCGGUUGCCUGGGCCCUCAGCCAGCUCUGGUUUGAAUACAAUGGAUCUUGAUCAACUGAAGAGGGAAAAAAUAAAAAUGGAAGUAAAGGUUUUAAAAUUAAAAGAAGAGUAUUACACUUUGAAAAUAAAAGAACUUAAAAAAUGAGGAUUAAUGCUUCUGUAAAGCUGACAUUGCAGACAAUAAAUUAAAAGAUCGCUGUUUACAUUCACAAGCUGACACACGUUAUCUGGAGGUUUCUUGAGUAGAAUGUUACUUUUGAGAAAAGCUGCAAAAUCAAGUGUGCUGCAUUUAUACACUGUACUUUUUCUUUGCUAUGCUCAGGUUUCCUUUAGUAUUGUUGAUUACCAUGUUUUACUUUGUUUGUUUUACAUGUUUUUAUAAUGAAACAGAUAGAUGGUAUUUUCUUCUGUAAAAUGUGAAUAAACGAUAUUGAUGCUUUUUAUCUGUAAAUUGUGCAAAUGUUAUGAAACUGUGUUUCCUUUAGACUUUGCCCAAGCUGUAGUAAUAGUUGUAAGAAGUAGCCUUUAAACAGCAUCGUGCAAUGUCUUGAGCCACAGCUCAUUUCUUUAUGUUUUGCUUCCAAGGAGCAAGAGCUUUUAUAAAAUUUGUAAGACAAAAACAAUAGAUUAGACAAUUAGACAAAAAGUUUUUCAUGGAAAUUUGUCCAACCAUAAUGAGAAAACACAAAAUGAAAAAAAGGAGAGUUACAGUGCUGUGCAAAAGUCUUGAGCCAGGACACGUCAUGCAGAGAUAUGUUAAGUGCCCAGCUAAUAGAUCUUUGGGUAUCAUUUGGUUACACAAUUAAAAAAACCAAACUUCUGUGUUAUCUUUGGCAUUUUUCUUUUCUUUUCUUUUUUUUAUUCAAAACCUAAAUAUAGUUAUGUUAGGUAUAUAUAGACUAGAUUAAACUGAUUUACUUUGAAAUAACUCAAGAAGACAAAGUUAUCAGGCUAUAUUUAAUU